CUAGCAUUUUGGUCACUUCUAUAGAUCCUGGUUGUGCUCAAAUUUACACGGGGUGGCUGUCUCUCUUCUAUACUUCUAUAGAUCAGGUUUCUCCGCUUAUGUUUAGCCUUUGUUAGGUAUACCUCUUUGCUGUCUUGAUGUGCGCAUGUGCUACCUUCUAAUAUUCAUGCCUCAUUGCAUUCUAAUAUUUUCCUUGCUUGUACUCAGGUUCCAGCUGUUAUUUCAAUGCAUCUUAUUCAUGGAUGCAUGCUUUACAUGCUCUUCUAGCAUAUGUUUGUUCUUGUGUUGCUUUCUCUUAUCUCCUAACUGCCUCUUGAGUGCAGGAAAAUGCCUCAAUUAAUUAGUUUGUCGCUCCGUUAGUCUCCAUGGUCAGAUGAUGCUUCAGGAAAACUGGUGUUUAUCUACAUGAGGGACCUGGUUGUAUUACCUACUACAUGCAUCGUUAACUGGGCACCAAAAAACCUAGAUUGUGCAUCUCUGUUUGUUCAUGUGGUGAUUAUCCUAUUGUUUUCGGCAUCAGGCCCUAUGCUCCUAUAGCUUGAAUUAGGGUGGUGCCAGUGAUUCACAAGCAAGGUGAAGUCAUUCAAGUAUUGGCCACUACUAUCUGCAUUAGCUUCGCCUCAGAAAAUAACCUUUUCACUUGGAAGGAGGAAGUAGGAGUUCUCAGUAAUGGUUAACUACAAGCUACAGUAGAUGUUCUUUGAUUAACAAAGACAAAUGUCCUACUAUUAUCGAUGUUUCCAGAGCUUCGUUCUCAAUUUGUCUGUUAUCUCAUUAUGUUUAUGAGCAGCUCCAAAAUCUGACACUUAUGCUUGCCAGUAUGAAUUUCUUGGCUAUAUUUUAUAGAACUUAUGUCUUGACGCUUUGUACUGAACUUGAUGCAGUCCAAUUCAAGUCAGUUGUCCUGAGCAAGCACUAUGUCUUGCUUUUGGUACACUUUGUGCCUUUAUGCUUUGUAGUAAAGUUCAAGGCCAGUUGUCUUGGGAACAACUA
Molecule: non-coding RNA, 993 nt
Organism: Triticum urartu
Lineage: Eukaryota; Viridiplantae; Streptophyta; Magnoliopsida; Poales; Poaceae
Source: RefSeq, a predicted model, not a curated record